UACGUAGGGUGCAAGCGUUGUCCGGAUUUAUUGGGCGUAAAGAGCUCGUAGGCGGUCUGUCGCGUCGGAUGUGAAAACCCAGGGCUCAACCCUGGGCCUGCAUUCGAUACGGGCAGACUAGAGUGUGGCAGGGGAGACUGGAAUUCCUGGUGUAGCGGUGAAAUGCGCAGAUAUCAGGAGGAACACCGGUGGCGAAGGCGGGUCUCUGGGCAUUACCUGACGCUGAGGAGCGAAAGCAUGGGGAGCGAACAGG
RNAcentral lists this ribosomal RNA (253 nucleotides) under uncultured bacterium. RNAcentral describes it as "partial 16S ribosomal RNA". It matches the Rfam family "Bacterial small subunit ribosomal RNA", at positions 524 to 776 of the family's 1533-position model. The record is from RNAcentral.